AUUGAACGCUGGCGGCAUGCCUUACACAUGCAAGUCGAACGGUAACAGGUCUUCGGAUGCUGACGAGUGGCGAACGGGUGAGUAAUACAUCGGAACGUGCCUAGUAGUGGGGGAUAACUACUCGAAAGAGUGGCUAAUACCGCAUGAGAUCUACGGAUGAAAGCAGGGGAUCGCAAGACCUUGUGCUACUAGAGCGGCCGAUGGCAGAUUAGGUAGUUGGUGGGAUAAAAGCUUACCAAGCCGACGAUCUGUAGCUGGUCUGAGAGGACGAUCAGCCAAACUGGGACUGGGACACGGCCCAGACACCUACGGGAGGCAGAAGUGGGGAAUUUUGGACAAUGGGCGCAAGCCUGAUCCAGCAUGCCGCGUGCAGGAUGAAGGCCUUCGGGUUGUAAACUGCUUUUGUACGGAACGAAAAGCCCUGGGUUAAUACCCUGGGGUCAUGACGGUACCGUAAGAAUAAGCACCGGCUAACUACGUGCCAGCCGCCGCAGUAA
This 497-nucleotide ribosomal RNA is filed under the name uncultured bacterium. RNAcentral's name for it is "partial 16S ribosomal RNA". It matches the Rfam family "Bacterial small subunit ribosomal RNA", at positions 30 to 523 of the family's 1533-position model. The record is from RNAcentral.